CGGAAGUGCCUUCUCUCCUCCCGGGUCUGCGCGGACGCGGCCUCCUUACCUCAUUUGUCCUCGCCCCUCCCCGUCCCUCUACGCGUUUUGGUCCCUGUUUGGUGCUUUCUGUUUGCAGCUACGGCAGUGAAUCUGGGCAUAGGAACCAAUCAGAAACAAUCGCUUCAGCAAUCAAGACCAUUGUUCAUCAUGGAGGAACCCAUGGAUACCUCUGAGCCUCUAUCUGCAUUACCAUUCACUGGGCAGCAGUCUUUUGAGCCAAGUGGCAAAUUUGGACAGUAUCCAUCGAUGCAGAUGAACCACAUCCAGGCACUGGGGAAGUGGAGGACAUAGAACAGCUCAAUCAGUGUUUGAUCCAACACUUCCAUCUCAUUAAGACAAGUUUGAUUUUUCUUUGCUUUUUAUUUCAUGGAAUACAUGAGAAUCUCUUAACUGUUGGAGUUUCCAAGGAGGCAUACCUCAUGACUUCAGUUAAUGGAAAGAACAAAACUAAAAUGCUGUAUGGCCAAAGCCACAAAGGGAAGGAUCCACAAUUUACAUUCUUGGAGCUAUCAUCUGUACUGUACUGUUGUGAUCUACUGAUUGGCAUUGGCAUAGUAGUAGGGGUCAAGUGACAGAAUCCGUGCCAGCAGUCUCCAGGUUCAGAAGCAAUUCAAGACCCUGAUGAUAGCUCUCCAGCAACCAACACAUGGUGAUUGUGCCAACUUGUUGCUCAGUUAUAAUGCAGGGCCAGUGAUUGGUUUAAGUGAAGACCAUGGUUGAGAUCAUUUGUCUUUGGUCUAAUAGAAUUUGAGUCUAGUAGAAUUUGAGUCUCCAGGGAAAGAGCUACUUGACCAAAUUAAACUAGUAGCAGGUAGAGCAUGAAUGACAGCAUAUUAUACCAUCAAGAUGUUCUUAGAGCAGUGUAUGGAUGGAUCGAUUGUACUGCCAUCAGUUGUGACUGACGUUGUAUUCAAGGAGAAAGAGAAACUUGUUUAGAAAGCACUUUGAAAGUUUUUUGAGUACGGGGGUGCCCUGUAUCACCCCGUUAUGGUUGAACUUUCUCCUUCAAAAUUACCAGACUUGGCAGCAGUGGCAAAUUAUUGGGCUAAAAGACUUAAUCAGACAUAUUCUGGGUUCAAGGCUCCUAAUAUAAUACCUGGUGCAAACAUUAUACUUCCACUCAUUCAGAUGGUUGCAUCCUGCCAGGCAUCCAGUGGGACUGGGAAUAUGGACACUUGAACAUUAAACAUCCUGAAGAAUUUUGGAAUGACAGGUUACAAGUGAACAUAAUCAGUUCUCUAUAUUAAAAAAAAAAAAAGAUUUGGGCAUAGAUUGGGCUCACAUAAUCUUUAGAGAGAUUUUUUCAUUUUUGUGAAAGUACAGAAAUUCUUAACUGCUUAUGAAAUGCUGAUUGUUAAACAGCAUCCACAGCUAUUUUGUGUUGUUUCCCUGACCCCACCCUGAAGAAAAGAAAAAUUAUGGCAUAUUGAAAACAGCAGUAUGAUGUAAGAGAAAAGAUCACAAAUUCCUUGAGGGUGGGUCUUUUCCAUACUCAUAAGCCUAUUUAUAAUAUUCAGAGUAAUUUAUUGACACAUAUUAAUAUUCCCUCCUAUCCCAUUAAUUGCCAAAUCAUCAAACAUUUAUUGAGCACCUACUCUGUGUAGGGUGUAAGCAGUACUGGGGACUUACAGUGAUAAAAGACAUAGUUUUAGCCUUAAGUGAUGUACUGUUUCACUGAAGAGAUGGAAUAUAAGAAGCCAAGUAAUUUAUGGAAUUCUCUUCUUUGUUUUUCUUUUUUUUUUUUGGCAGUGGAGUCUUGCUCUUUAAAUAGAGCAAGGCUAGUCUGGAACUCCUGGGCUCAUGUGGUCCUCCCGCCUUAGCUUUCAGUGUAGCUGGGACUACAGGUGUGAACACAGCUUGGAAAUCUCUUAACCAUGGGAGUUAAGUCUCAAAAUUCUGGUGAUACAAGUGGUUGAAACUUAAAACUGUAUUUAAAAAAUAGGAUUCGUGAAUUUGAGAUAGUUCAUAAGUCUGCAAAAGGCUGUAUAAAUACAUAUUUUACAUUUACUAUUAUUAAUUUUGUAGUAAAUUUGAGUACAGCACUCUCUUUAUCUGUGGAAACUUCAGACUCUCCCCUAUUACUUUAAUUUCAGUGAGACAUUAUUAAAUAUAAGUGGGCUUACACAUUUGUUUUGCUUUACUGACAAAUAAUACACAACUUGGAGGCUUUUUUUUCCUUUCUAUUCUUCCUCUAAAUGUUCAACACUUUUCUGAUUUUGUGAUUUGAGGUUGUUUAAUAGCUUCCUGAGGCUCCAUUGAGACCGUAUAUACGUGACACUUAACAGUCUAGCCUUCCUCGGUACAUAUAGAUAUAUGAUGGUGGCUUUGCCUGUAGUAAAUUCAUGCCAAAACAUAGGCUUUCAGUGCCUAUUACAUAUGGCUUUCAGCUCUCUCUACUGAGGGAUGUAGGAGUUUAUUUCUGAGGUCUGAGCCUCUUUUCCUUUACUUCCUUUACUCUUUCCUAAGCCUUCUUUAUAAAAACUAUGCAUGUUCUAUUGUUUUCCUUUUUGAUUCCCUUUCUUUUAUUAUCCCCAGUAGGAGUGACUUGUAAUUCUCAUAUGUUAGAAAGGCAGAUCUCCUGGUUGAAGAAAAGAUCCACCCAAGCAAGUCAGCAUGUUUAAUAAUUUUUGAGGGGGAUCUCAAAUGUGGGAAGGAUUGUUAUAUAAGACAACCAAAUGAUGACAUGAGACAAUAAAUGCUAUAGGAAUUAUGGAGGAAUAAUUAGCUAUUUAUUUUCUUGGUUAGGGAAGAGAUAUUAUUAGUUGUAGAAGUAAUUACUAACUUCUACAUUUUUUAUUGUGGAAAUCAAAAAUAUAUAUAUGAAAAUAAAAUGUUAUAAUUGACUUCAGUGUCCCAUAAACCAGCUUCAACAAUUACCAAAUUGUGACCAAUCUUUACACACAUGCACAGGUGUCCCUCAGUAUCUGUGGGGCAUUGGUUCUAGGACCACUUAUGGAUACCAACAUCUAUGGAUGCUCAAGUCCCUGAUAUAAAAUGGUGGACUAUUUGCAUAUAACCUGUGUACAUCCCGUAUUAUUUAAAUCAUCCCUAGAUCACUUAUAAUACGUAAUACAAUGUAAAUGCCAUGUAAAUAACUGUUAUACUGUAUUAAGGAAUAACAACAAGAAAAAUGUACAUGUUCAGUACAGACGCAAUUUUUUUUGUGUGUGGAAUAUUUUCAUUCCAAGGUCAGUUGAACCCAUGGACAUAGGAGGCUGACUGUGUGUGUGUGUGUGUGUGUGUGUGUGUGUGUGUGCAUACAGACACACAUAUUUCUGAAAUGUAAAUAUUCUCUUCUUAAAAAAAUUAUUAUCACAGCUAAACAAAUUACCAGUAAUUCUUUUAUCCUCAUAUACCCGGUGUUCAGAUUUUCUAGAUUGGCUCCUAAUUUUUUUACAGAUUAUUUGAAUCUGAUUCAAUUCAUGUACUGUAAUGUUUGAUAACUUAAGUACCCUUUAUAGGUUCUCUUUUACCUCUUCUUUAUUAAAUUCCUUGUAAUUUGUUGUACUAAAUAGAUUGUCUUCUAGAAUUUCCUGUAGUCUGAAUUAUGUAGUAUUGUUUCACAUGUUCCAGUGUCCUCUUAUUUCCUGUGAGUUGGUAGUUAGAUCUAGAAGCUUGAUUAAAUUCAGAUUUUCUCUCUUUAGAUCAUCAACUUUAGAUCAUCAACUUGGAUCAUUUGUUUCAUUUUGCUUUUGAUAUGUUGUUUUUUAGAAUUACCUCUUAAAAUUUUGAUUUAAUUUUAUAAUCAUGUAAAAUGUUUAUAAAUUUCCAAAUUCAGAUCAGCAAAACACAAUAAAAUCUAUUCAGAGAAGGCAAACCUUCUGUCCAGUCUCCAUCCUGUUCCUGCUCUUCCCCUUAUGGGUAACCAUUAAGAGAAAAUUGGUGGUUGGUCCUUACAUUU
This 3943-nucleotide long non-coding RNA is filed under the name Homo sapiens (human). RNAcentral describes it as "non-protein coding lnc-ZCCHC7-2:15". The record is from RNAcentral. Lineage: Eukaryota; Metazoa; Chordata; Mammalia; Primates; Hominidae.